This 318-nucleotide long non-coding RNA is filed under the name Androctonus crassicauda. Lineage: Eukaryota; Metazoa; Arthropoda; Arachnida; Scorpiones; Buthidae. The record is from RNAcentral.
GUCUGGGAUAACUAGAGAUAUCGACAUAAAUUGCUCCUCAUUUAUGAAUAUAGGUAUCUGCAAACGAUGUAUGCUAUUCCUAGCAGUGUUGCCUUCCUAAUGCUGAUUUUGUCAAUUCCAAUAUCAGCCAGGUGCUUUGGGAUUGCCCCCAAGGCACCGAUGAUGAUUGUCAUUAUUCUUGCCUUCUUUUCUCAUAAUCUUUCCACUUCUAUUUCAAGGUCUCUAUAUUUUGUUGUCUUUUCAAGUUCUUUAUCAUUCAUUCUUGCAUCACCAGGAAUUGCUAUGUCUACAAAUUGAACUUUUUUCUUUCUUGUUCAC